GAUGAACGCUGGCGGCGUGCUUAACACAUGCAAGUCGAACGGAAAGGCCCAAGCUUGCUUGGGUACUCGAGUGGCGAACGGGUGAGUAACACGUGGGUGAUCUGCCCUGCACUUCGGGAUAAGCCGGGGAAACUGGGUCUAAUACCGGAUAGGACCACUUCUUGGAUGUUGUGGUGGAAAGUUUUCUCGGUGUGGGAUGAGCUCGCGGCCUAUCAGCUUGUUGGUGGGGUAAUGGCCUACCAAGGCGUCGACGGGUAGCCGGCCUGAGAGGGUGUACGGCCACAUUGGGACUGAGAUACGGCCCAGACUCCUACGGGAGGCAGCAGUGGGGAAUAUUGCACAAUGGGCGCAAGCCUGAUGCAGCGACGCCGCGUGGGGGAUGACGGCCUUCGGGUUGUAAACUCCUUUCGCUAGGGACGAAGCGUUUUUGUGACGGUACCUGGAGAAGAAGCACCGGCUAACUACGUG
RNAcentral lists this ribosomal RNA (468 nucleotides) under uncultured bacterium. RNAcentral's name for it is "partial 16S ribosomal RNA". It matches the Rfam family "Bacterial small subunit ribosomal RNA", at positions 28 to 507 of the family's 1533-position model. The record is from RNAcentral.